AGUGAACGCUGGCGGUGGGCCUAACACAUGCAAGUCGAACGGCAGCACAGUAAGAGCUUGCUCUUACGGGUGGCGAGUGGCGGACGGGUGAGGAAUACAUCGGAAUCUACUUUUUCGUGGGGGAUAACGUAGGGAAACUUACGCUAAUACCGCAUACGACCUACGGUUGAAAGCAGGGGAUCUUCGGACCUUGCGCGAUUGAAUGAGCCGAUGUCGGAUUAGCUAGUUGGCGGGGUAAAGGCCCACCAAGGCGACGAUCCGUAGCUGGUCUGAGAGGAUGAUCAGCCACACUGGAACUGAGACACGGUCCAGACUCCUACGGGAGGCAGCAGUGGGGAAUAUUGGACAAUGGGCGCAAGCCUGAUCCAGCCAUACCGCGUGGGUGAAGAAGGCCUUCGGGUUGUAAAGCCCUUUUGUUGGGAAAGAAAAGCAGCAGGUUAAUACCCCGCUGUUCUGACGGUACCCAAAGAAUAAGCACCGGCUAACUUCGUG
This 492-nucleotide ribosomal RNA is filed under the name uncultured bacterium. RNAcentral's name for it is "partial 16S ribosomal RNA". It matches the Rfam family "Bacterial small subunit ribosomal RNA", at positions 29 to 507 of the family's 1533-position model. The record is from RNAcentral.